RNAcentral lists this long non-coding RNA (920 nucleotides) under Nicotiana tabacum (common tobacco). RNAcentral's name for it is "long non-coding RNA (NTAB_LNC002499)". The record is from RNAcentral. Lineage: Eukaryota; Viridiplantae; Streptophyta; Magnoliopsida; Solanales; Solanaceae.
GGAACGACGAGGCCUCGUGCAAGUAGCGCCGCAAGGUGCCGUGCACAUGGGGCUAGCUCAGUAUGUUCCGAAUGCCAUCGGUUGUUGGGGGCAAAAUCGGGAGGCGACAUCGCUCGUGGCAGCUGAUGGCUUUUGGCAACUGAACGGCGAGGCCUCGUGCAAGUAGCGCCGCAAGGUGCCGUGCGCAUGGGGCUAAGCCCAGUAUGUUCCGAUUGCCAUCGAUUGUUGCGGGCAACAUCGGGAGGCGACAUCGCUCGUGGCGGCUGAUGGCUUUUGGCAACUGAAUGGCGAGGCCUCGUGCAAGUAGCGCCGCAAGGUGCCGUGCGCAUGGGGCUAAACUCAGUACGUUCCGAUUGCCAUCGGUUGUUGGGGGCAAAAUCGGGAGGCGACAUCGCUCGUGGCAGCUGAUGGCUUUUGGCAACGGAACGGCGAGGCCUCGUGCAAGUAGCGUCGCAAGGUGCCGUGCGCAUGGGGCUAAACUCAGUACGUUCCGAUUGCCAUCGGUUGUUGUGAGUUGUGUCUGGCAUCGCUCGUGGCGGCUGAUGGCUUUUGGCAUCGGAACGACGAGGCCUCGUGCAAGUAGCGCCGCAAGGUGCCGUGCACAUGGGGCUAAGCUUAGUAUGUUCCGAUUACCAUUGAUUGUUGGGGGCAAAAUCGGGAGGAGACAUCGCUCGUGGCGGCUGAUGGCUUUUGGCAACUGAAUGGCGAGGCCUCGUGCAAGUAGCGCCGCAAGGUGCCGUGCGCGUGGGGCUAAGCUUAGUAUGUUCCGAAUGCCAUCGGUUGUUGGGGGCAACAUCGGGAGGCGACAUCGCUCGUGGCGGCUGAUGGCUUUUGGCAACGGAACGGCGAGGCCUUGUGCAAAUAGCGCCGCAAGGUGUCGUGCGCAUGGGGCUAAACUCAGUAUGUUCCGAUUGCCAUCG